CACGUGAACCCAUGUUGUAGAUUACUGGGCGAAAGAGCGGGAGUGGAACAACACGUUCAGCAGUUCGAAGGAAGAGCGUUACCACCCGUGGAAGAGAAGGGCAUCGCCAGUCGACUUGAAGAUGAAGGGGAUCUUGAUAGCUGCGCUGAUUUUGGCGGUUACUCCAUCUAGCGCCCAAAGUUCGGCGUGGACUGUCAGCGACGUGAACACCACAGCAGUAUGUGUCGUAGCUCGAAUGGAACUGGACAUCAAGAUUUCCUACUUGGACGACACCGGGGCGAGACUCAACGCAACCAUUGGUUU
Lingula anatina is the source of this 303-nucleotide long non-coding RNA. The record is from RefSeq and is a predicted model, not a curated record. Lineage: Eukaryota; Metazoa; Brachiopoda; Lingulata; Lingulida; Lingulidae.